GCGGGGCGCGGGCCGCGCUCUGCCCGCCGUGAGGGCCCCGCGGGGCCGCGCCGGGGCCGGCCCGACUCGGGAACCUCGCGCUGAUCUCAGGGCUGGCCUUGUUGAGCAAGUCAUGGAGCUGCCCUACUCACUGCUGAGAAACCUGACCUUCAAUGGCUGCCUACAAAGAUUCCCUGAGACCAUGGUGUCAAGAUGGCCUUUGGCUGGACACACGCUGACAUCUUCACUUUCACCUUGAGAAAGGAGUUCUCAAAUUGGAGUGACAGGGCUGGAGGCUGUCAGGGGGGGCCUCACUACUUUCAGGCAACCCUUCCUGUGUAGCCAUGAGGGAGGGAGCAGACCACUACUCCGCAUGCAGGGAUAAUCUGGCCCAGAUGUUGUCCUGCCCCGCAGAGCACAUUUCACUGCACAAGUAGCAGGGGUGACAGAGGGUAGCAGCCGCUCUCAAGGAAUGCUGCAGGAGAGACGUUUUCAGAGACCCCAGGGAGGCAGUACAUUCCUAGAAUGUGUGUGCCAUUUGCUAUAACUCAGUCAUUAAGGACCUGUCUGGCUUUAAUAGAAACCAAAGAGCCAGUAGUUUGCCUUAUACCACUCAGGCUCAUGCACUCCUCAGUUUGGGCUUUUCUCCUCCCCUCAUGUCCAAAGAGGAUAGGCCAGAGGUUCCUAGAGGAACCAGACCACAUCCAGGGGCACCCAGAGAGAAGGAAAUUGGGCUGUUAGGCACAUGGAAAUGAUCAUGUGGGCCCCAUCCUAGGGGUGUCCUUUCACCACCUUCCCAGCAAGACCUCCAGCUGGUUGGUGAAAGGCCACAGCAGGUGACACACAGAGACACAGAAGGGAACCAGACCCAGACAGAUCAGCUGGGAAAGGCCAUAGGGAGCAACACUGCUGCCUACUAGGAUGGGUGUAACCGCAGCCAGCCCUGACUAGCACCAGGACAAGGACAGGGCUGGCCUAAAUAGUAUUCCCACCCUGAUGCACCCUAAGCCUCAGGCAGAUUGCAGUUGUCUGCAGUUUAUAAAGCCCAGACAAAAUUAGAGGCUAGGGAACCCCUUUGAGGUCGCAGAGAAACAAGUGCAAAAGGCAACACAAGGACAGCUCCAUCCAGCAGUCAACUUAAAUGCUUUUAUUGACAAUGUCUCUGAACAAUAAUAAGCAAACAAUGCUUAAGUUUCAUCCAAAUUCACUUUCCACAUGUCAAAAAAGACCUCAAGGUAGAAAAAAAUAAAAUAAAAAUAUAAAUAUCUGAGAAUCCAUCUUAAUAAAUAAAUUAAAAA
This is a long non-coding RNA of Parus major (Great Tit), 1277 nucleotides long. RefSeq lists it as uncharacterized. The record is from RefSeq and is a predicted model, not a curated record. Lineage: Eukaryota; Metazoa; Chordata; Aves; Passeriformes; Paridae. The transcript is spliced from 3 exons.